UCUCUGACAAGGAGAUUGAUAUUGUGAUC
This 29-nucleotide non-coding RNA is filed under the name Rattus norvegicus (Norway rat). The record is from RNAcentral. Lineage: Eukaryota; Metazoa; Chordata; Mammalia; Rodentia; Muridae.